RNAcentral lists this ribosomal RNA (467 nucleotides) under uncultured bacterium. Its description in RNAcentral is "partial 16S ribosomal RNA". It matches the Rfam family "Bacterial small subunit ribosomal RNA", at positions 29 to 507 of the family's 1533-position model. The record is from RNAcentral.
ACGAACGCUGGCGGCGUGCUUAACACAUGCAAGUCGAACGGAAAGGCCCUGCUUUUGUGGGGUGCUCGAGUGGCGAACGGGUGAGUAACACGUGAGUAACCUGCCCUUGACUUUGGGAUAACUUCAGGAAACUGGGGCUAAUACCGGAUAGGAGUUCCUGCUGCAGGGUGGGGGUUGGAAAGUUUCGGCGGUUGGGGUUGGACUGGGGGCUUAUCGGCUUGUUGGUGGGGUAGUGGCUUACCAAGGCUUUGACGGGUAGCCGGCCUGAGAGGGUGACCGGCCACAUUGGGACUGAGAUACGGCCCAGACUCCUACGGGAGGCAGCAGUGGGGAAUAUUGCACAAUGGGCGGAAGCCUGAUGCAGCAACGCCGCGUGCGGGAUGACGGCCUUCGGGUUGUAAACCGCUUUCGCCUGUGACGAAGCGUGAGUGACGGUAAUGGGUAAAGAAGCACCGGCUAACUACGUG